UACGAAGGGGGCUAGCGUUGUUCGGAAUUACUGGGCGUAAAGCGCGCGCAGGCGGCUAUCCAAGUCAGUGGUGAAAGCCCGGAGCUCAACUCCGGGACUGCCAUUGAAACUGUUUAGCUUGGGGACGAGAGAGGUGAGUGGAAUUCCCAGUGUAGAGGUGAAAUUCGUAGAUAUUGGGAAGAACACCAGUGGCGAAUGCGCCUCACUGGCUCGUUUCUGACGCUCAGGCGCGAUAGCGUGGGGAUCAAACAGG
Molecule: ribosomal RNA, 253 nt
Filed under: uncultured bacterium
Lineage: Bacteria
Description: partial 16S ribosomal RNA
Rfam family: Bacterial small subunit ribosomal RNA
Source: RNAcentral